GAUUUUUAUCGAUUACUUGGAAACGGAGUAAGCUAUCGAUUAUCGGAAACAAACUCGAUCUGCGCAGGCAAUAGGAGCAUCUACUCUCUUUAGGGCAUAUUUAUGAGCAUGAUCAUCAGAAUAUUCAUAUGUUUCGAAUUUCAUUUCAAGAUCAUCUUUAAUAUGUAUAUUAAGGAGUCGGUAUUCAUAUAAUUUAAUACUAGAUCAGAUUUAAACUUUGCUACCACAUAAUCAUAAUAAAAAUCAUACAUCAACAAUUUCGAAAGAUCUUAUACUGUUAAACCUAAAUAUAUGGGCUUAUUAUAAUAAGUUUUAUAUCUUUUCAUUUGGAUUGCAUAUGUAGUAUACCUCCCCCGCCAGUUACACAAAUCAAAGGGUAUAAAAGUUAAUACAUACAUUGUGACACUCAGUCAUAAUAAUCAUAAAUAUACAAAUACCCAAAAGACCACACUUAAACAUACAAACACACCAGCGCAUAUGUCAUACGAUCCACCACUUAUAUACAUGGCUAUCGUAGCGCGUGGGAAUGCUGAGCAUGCACAUUGCAGCUCAAGUGGUCAAGAUAUACACAACAUAUGUAUGCCUUCUGCAUACACAUGUAUAUACUAAUAUACUUACACAUAAAUAUAAGACAUAGAUAUAAGCAUUGCAUGUUUCGGGUUAGCUGAACACAGCACGAAUAUGUAAGAAGCAUUCUAAAUAAAGCAAGACAACGGAGCAGACGCUCCUAACCAAAACGUUCUCGUCUGUAACGAAUAUAUUACAUGGCGACCGUAGCAGGACUCUCACCAAUCUGCAGUGAAUAAAAUACAUCCCAAAAACUAGUGGAAAGGGAGCCAAGAAGGCUGGCAACAAACAACAACAAACUUCAACAAAAACAACAGCAACAGCAGAUGACAUUUACUACAACUCUGGUAACAAAUAAAAAGACAGCAGCGAUGGAGGGAUAGCUGUGGACAACAAAUAAAUAUUUGACUAUCGCAGCAUAUGAGAGACAAUGUCCGGCGGACUGUGAGGGUCCAUUCUACAACAUUGGCUGCGCACUGACUUGCGAGAUUGCCAAACCGACAGCGCUACAAAGAGCGCAAUAGAGGGCAACAUACAAUCAUCCCGGAGCGAGGACCAGCACCGGCAACAUGAACGAGUUUCGACAGUGGACCGACAGCGCUACAAGGAGCGCACUACGAAUUUUUAUACCCUGAACCCAUUAAAAAUGGGUAUAAGGGUAGUCGGGAGCUCCUGACUAGGGGAUACCAUGAAACCUCUUCUUCUAACAUCAAAUGUA
Long non-coding RNA from Drosophila virilis, 1285 nucleotides. RefSeq lists it as uncharacterized. Lineage: Eukaryota; Metazoa; Arthropoda; Insecta; Diptera; Drosophilidae. The record is from RefSeq and is a predicted model, not a curated record.